RNAcentral lists this ribosomal RNA (330 nucleotides) under uncultured eukaryote. RNAcentral describes it as "partial 18S ribosomal RNA". It matches the Rfam family "Eukaryotic small subunit ribosomal RNA", at positions 1470 to 1796 of the family's 1831-position model. The record is from RNAcentral.
CCCUUAGAUGUUCUGGGCCGCACGCGCGCUACACUGAUGCAUUCAACGAGUCUAAAACCUGGUCUGAUAGGGCUGGGUAAUCUUUUGAAUGUGCAUCGUGAUUGGGAUAGAUGAUUGCAAUUCUUCAUCUUCAACGAGGAAUGCCUAGUAAACGCAAGUCAUCAGCUUGCGCUGACUACGUCCCUGCCCCUUGUACACACCGCCCGUCGCUGCCCGGAACUGAGCCGUUUCGAGAAAGCCGGGGACCGACGACUUGUGGGUGCGCAAGCACUUCUAGUCGAUGGAAACCAGUUUAAUCGGUAUGGCUUGAACCGGGCAAAAGUCGUAACA